This 116-nucleotide small RNA is filed under the name Marmota monax (woodchuck). Lineage: Eukaryota; Metazoa; Chordata; Mammalia; Rodentia; Sciuridae. The record is from RNAcentral.
AUUGGACCUGGUGACAAGUGUCUGUAGUCUCAGCUACUUGGGAGGUUGAGACAGGAUGAUCUCUUGAGCUCAAGAGUUUGAGAUCAGCCUGGGCAACAUAGUGAGACCUGUCUCAU